AGCGAACGCUGGCGGCAGGCCUAACACAUGCAAGUCGAACGGACCCUUCGGGGUUAGUGGCGGACGGGUGAGUAACACGUGGGAACGUGCCUUUAGGUUCGGAAUAGCUCCUGGAAACGGGUGGUAAUGCCGAAUGUGCCCUUCGGGGGAAAGAUUUAUCGCCUUUAGAGCGGCCCGCGUCUGAUUAGCUAGUUGGUGAGGUAACGGCUCACCAAGGCGACGAUCAGUAGCUGGUCUGAGAGGAUGACCAGCCACACUGGGACUGAGACACGGUCCAGACUCCUACGGGAGGCAGCAGUGGGGAAUCUUGCGCAAUGGGCGAAAGCCUGACGCAGCCAUGCCGCGUGAAUGAUGAAGGUCUUAGGAUUGUAAAAUUCUUUCACCGGGGACGAUAAUGACGGUACCCGGAGAAGAAGCCCCGGCUAACUUCGUG
Molecule: ribosomal RNA, 433 nt
Filed under: uncultured bacterium
Lineage: Bacteria
Description: partial 16S ribosomal RNA
Rfam family: Bacterial small subunit ribosomal RNA
Source: RNAcentral